AACGAAUGCUGGCGGCAUGCUUUACACAUGCAAGUCGAACGGUAACAGGCCGCAAGGUGCUGACGAGUGGCGAACGGGUGAGUAAUGCAUCGGAACGUGCCCAGUCGUGGGGGAUAACGCAGCGAAAGCUGCGCUAAUACCGCAUACGAUCUAUGGAUGAAAGCGGGGGGACCGUAAGGCCUCGCGCGAUUGGAGCGGCCGAUGUCAGAUUAGGUAGUUGGUGGGGUAAAGGCUCACCAAGCCAACGAUCUGUAGCUGGUCUGAGAGGACGACCAGCCACACUGGGACUGAGACACGGCCCAGACUCCUACGGGAGGCAGCAGUGGGGAAUAUUGGACAAUGGGCGAAAGCCUGAUCCAGCAAUGCCGCGUGAGUGAUGAAGGCCUUAGGGUUGUAAAGCUCUUUUACCCGAGAUGAUAAUGACAGUAUCGGGAGAAUAAGCUCCGGCCAACUCCGUGCCAGCAGCCGC
This 469-nucleotide ribosomal RNA is filed under the name uncultured bacterium. Its description in RNAcentral is "bacterial SSU rRNA". It matches the Rfam family "Bacterial small subunit ribosomal RNA", at positions 29 to 518 of the family's 1533-position model. The record is from RNAcentral.